CUAUGGAACUCAUCCCGGUUGAGCAGCAGGAGGAGCUGGUGCUGUGGGUGAGCUUGCCAAACCCAUGCAGCUAUACACAUGGCUUCAGAUUCAGAGUCGUUCGUCAGGUGUUUUCUACUAGUGUCUUUGUGUGCUUACGUGAUACUUUUCCAUGUGCACGCCCUUUGUAUUUAUAGGGAUGAUCAAGCAGAGGAGGAGGCCGGAAGGAAAGGGGGAUCAAGCAGAGGAGGAGCCCACAGUGAGCCUUACACGCUUACAUUAUUGCCUCCAAGCAGGUAGUACUCUGCAUGCAACCGUUCAUUAUUCAGAGUUUCCAUCCUGUGUUCAGUUACCAGGUUUUAUAUUACCUUUGCAUAUACUACCUCCGUUUUUAAUAGAUGACGCCGUUGACUUUUCCUCACAUGUUUGACCAUUCGUCUUAUUCAAAAAUUUUAUGCAAAUGUAUAAGAUAUAAAUCAUACUUAAAGUACUAUGAGUGAUAAAACAACCCAUAACAAAAUAAAUUAUAAUUACGUAAAUUUUUUGAAUAAGACGAAUGGUCAAACAUGUGAGAAAAAGUCAACGGCGUCAUCUAUUAAAAAACGGAGGGAGUAUAUGUCAAUUCUGAGGGUCCCUCCCUACCACUAAUUUCCUCUGUAUCUAUAACAGUUCAAUUGUUUUGUGCCACUCCUAGUUUGAAGUUUUAACACUUGGUGCUUGCUUAUGGAUGCAACACACUCUUAGUUUGAAUUUUUAACGCUUGGUUCCUCUAUAUCUAUAACUAUUAUUUAGCCUCCAUCCUUAUAAGCAUAACCGAAAAUUUAAAUUUUUGCUUUCUUUUUCCAUCGCAGUUUAUUUUCUUUUAAAUUGUUAAGAAUAUGUAUAUACAAGUUUUACUCGUAAAUAUUUUCUUAAUCGUUAAUACAUAUUGUUACUUAUAAUAAGUAUAAGCGAAACAACGAGGCUGUUGAUGUUCACUUCCUGUGAGCCACAGUUUGUUUUUUUUCUUGUCAGGAACAGCGGCUAGGCAGCACCUGAAAACUGGUAUUGCUGAUCCAUAUCUGAAUUUCUGGAUGAAAACGAGAGCUUUGCUUGUCUAAAUUCUCUGAAUACUGGAUAGGAAGAGGAAUGCCGGAUAUACACAAGCAGUAAACAACGGCCUGGUCUUUCUGCAUUCAAACCUGUUUCCCACGGGCAGUUGGCCUUGCUGGCUUUCAAUUCACACGUGUCAAUCAGCUGGGGAAAACAGCAAUCCAUGCCUGCGAUGGGGAAUGCAUUUGUACUCCUCCGUCCCAAAAAAAAAAAA
This 1285-nucleotide long non-coding RNA is filed under the name Oryza sativa (Asian cultivated rice). RNAcentral describes it as "long non-coding RNA (OSAT_LNC001619)". The stretch from base 373 to 576 matches the Rfam family "MIR812 microRNA precursor family". Lineage: Eukaryota; Viridiplantae; Streptophyta; Magnoliopsida; Poales; Poaceae. The record is from RNAcentral.